RNAcentral lists this ribosomal RNA (529 nucleotides) under uncultured bacterium. RNAcentral's name for it is "bacterial SSU rRNA". It matches the Rfam family "Bacterial small subunit ribosomal RNA", at positions 28 to 519 of the family's 1533-position model. The record is from RNAcentral.
GAUGAACGCUGGCAGUGUGCCUAAAACAUGCAAGUCGGACGGUUCUGAGGUUAGAGGCUGGAGGCUAAGGGAUUAGCUUGCAGUCUCUAAUUUCAGGACAGUGGCGAACGGGUGAGUAACGCGUAAGUAACCUACCUCCAGGACGGGGAUAACAUUCCGAAAGGGAUGCUAAUACCCGAUGAGGUUAAGUGACUGAGAUGUCAAAUAACCAAAGGGAAGCGAAAGUGACCGCCUGGGGAUGGGCUUGCGUCCCAUCAGCUAGUUGGUAGGGUAAGAGCCUACCAAGGCAAAGACGGGUAGCUGGCUUGAGAGGGUGGUCAGCCACACUGGGACUGAGACACGGCCCAGACUCCUACGGGAGGCAGCAGUUAGGAAUCUUCCGCAAUGGGCGAAAGCCUGACGGAGCGACACUGCGUGAGGGAAGGAGUCCUUGGAGUGUAAACCUACUGUCGAGAGGGGAAGGAAACGAAGACGGUAACCCGUCCAAACGGAAGACCCCGGACGUAACCUAACGUGCCAGCAGCCGACC